CAAGUCGAACGGGGAGCUUCGGUGUAGCAAUACAUCGGAGCUUCUAGUGGCGUACGGGUGAGUAACACGUGGGCAACUUGCCCUAGAGACCGGGAUACCCUCUCGAAAGGGAGGCUAAUACUGGAUACGUUCUUCGGGUCGCAAGAUCUGGAGAGGAAAGGUGGCGCAAGCUACCGCUCUUGGAGAGGCUCGCGGCCUAUCAGCUAGUUGGUGAGGUAAUGGCUCACCAAGGCUAUGACGGGUAGCUGGUCUGAGAGGACGACCAGCCACACGGGAACUGAGACACGGUCCCGACUCCUACGGGAGGCAGCAGUGGGGAAUUUUCCGCAAUGGGCGAAAGCCUGACGGAGUGACGCCGCGUGGGGGACGAAGGCCUUCGGGUUGUAAACCCCUGUCAGAGGGAAAGAAGGGUGUCGGUGUGAUAACCGCCGGCACUUGACGGUACCUUCAGAGGAAGCCCCGGCCAACUCUGUGCCAGCAGCCGCGGUAAGACAGAGGGGGCAAGCGUUGCUCGGAAUCACUGGGCGUAAAGGGCGCGUAGGCGGGAUGGCAAGUCGGUCGUGAAAUCUCUCGGCUCAACCGAGAAAUGUCGGCCGAUACUGCUGUUCUUGAGGGAUGCAGAGGAGACUGGAAUUCCCGGUGUAGCGGUGAAAUGUGUAGAGAUCGGGAGGAACACCGGUGGCGAAGGCGGGUCUCUGGGCAUUUCCUGACGCUGAGGCGCGAAAGCGUGGGGAGCAAACGGGAUUAGAUACCCCGGUAGUCCACGCUGUAAACGAUGACGACUAGGUGU
Molecule: ribosomal RNA, 790 nt
Filed under: uncultured Bacillota bacterium
Lineage: Bacteria; Bacillati; Bacillota
Description: bacterial SSU rRNA
Rfam family: Bacterial small subunit ribosomal RNA
Source: RNAcentral